This is a long non-coding RNA of Hippocampus zosterae (dwarf seahorse), 2441 nucleotides long. RefSeq lists it as uncharacterized. The record is from RefSeq and is a predicted model, not a curated record. NCBI's taxonomy places the organism in Eukaryota, Metazoa, Chordata, Actinopteri, Syngnathiformes, Syngnathidae. The transcript is spliced from 2 exons.
UAUAUAUAUGAAUAUUAUUAUAAUCGCUGCACUGUGCUACCCAGCCAUUGAAACCAUGCACCAAACAUUUCAGGUUUGUUUCAAGAAGGAAUAUUUUCAUUUUUUUGUGUGUGUAAUAUAUGAAGGAGAUUAGCUGUAUGUCUAUGUAGUGCAUGGCCAUAUCGACGGAUGCAAUCCAACUAUGUCCUACUCGUUGACUUUUUAGAUAUUUUAGCGGGAUUGUACAUUUCAUGGCGUCUUCUUUGUGAUCUUGUGUGAUAUGAAGAAGAACAAAAAAAAAUAGUCCGAAAGCUUUGACUUUUUUUUUUUUUAACGCUCCUCUCCAUGCUUCACUGUUGUGUUAGCUGCAUGGGCAAAAAUAAAUAAAAUAACAAAACAAACUCAAAUACUAUAUGUAAUAUAUGAAGUGUAAUAGUAUCCGAAAGGAAGAUGAUUGUGUUACAGUUUGCGUUUUAUGCACUCUCUUUGUCAUUUUGGAGAAUGUCUGAUUCUCACCAAGUACAGUGGAACUUCCCAAGUGGAACAAACGUUAUGGAAUUGAAAACGAUGAACAGUGUGUUUCGCUUUGUCAUCACAUUUUUUGUGCGAAGGAUACGAGUGAUGGCAAAGAGGAAAAGUGGAGGAAAGGGACCGUCUGCUCUAUAGCAGUAAAUACACUAAAGUCUUUUCUUCAUUGGAUUAAGUAUUUUUGUUUUUAUCAAUUUUAUUAUACAUUAUACGUUAUGCUCUCAUUGCACUUGUACUUCAAAUUUGAUACUGAAUCAGAUGAAUUCAUGUUACAUUAUAUCCAAUAGGAAAAUGGCUUUGGAAUUACAAAAGCUCGGAAGUCAACCUGCGUGAAUGCCUUUCCCUUCACGGGCUUCCACUAUUAGUCUCCAAGGCAGACUUUACGGUUAAAAAUACAUAUUGGACCUUUCAACAGAACCACUUAGAGUGGAGCUCGAGGCUAAUUUCCAAAUCAUUCCUGUCGAAUCAUUCCGUAAUUGAUUGUAAAUCGGAUGCUUGGGCAAACUAGGCCUGUUUUCCGUGACUGUCGCCCCCAUCCAGCUUUAAUAGUGACUGGUUAAUAUUUGGUAUACAGUAUAUAGGACACCCCACCCCCUUUUUUUAAUGCUACCCCUUCUUGAUACUGUCUCGCUGUUUUGUUUUUUCAAUGCACCACUGUGUCUCGUCCAUCAUGUGGUAGGUCCGUAGUCAUCAUUAUCCACAUCUUGUCCAUUCAACCGAUCCCUCCCUAACAUGAAAAUAUCAUAUCCCAAACAUGGACAUGUGGACUGAAGCUCUUGUUCAGGUGAAUGUUUCAAAAAUAAGUAUGUGUUUUGUGGUGACAUGAACCAUUUGCUUAACAGUUUCUACUGCCACCAUACCAUGAAUAAAAUUUUGAAUGUACCUAUACCAUCGCCCGACUCUUGAUUGCUGAAAGUGAGCGUUAGCGCAGAUGGUUGUUUGUCUGGUGUCGCCCUGCGAUUGGCUGGCAACUGGUUCAGGGUGUCGCCCUGCGUACUGCCCGAAGACGGCUGGGAUCGGCUCCAGCACCCCCCAUGACCCUCGUAAGGAAGAAGGGAAUUGGAAAAUGGAUUGAUGGAUAUUCCUAACACUGAUUCUUUGUCUAUCCUUUUCUUGACUGACUUAGUGUUUCGGUCAUGUGUCAUGGAGUAAAAGACAGGGCAAAACCCUGGACUGGUCUGGACUUUCAGCAAGGUGGGAGAAAGCCGACAUGAGGGUCAAGCCUUAAGAGUUGUGAGGCAGAUGCCGGUCUUCUCCCAUGUUGCAUCAUCGUCUCAUUCAGGUCAUAUUUCACCUUAAGAACUGAAAUGUCAACCGUUCGCAAAAAGCAACUCGGUAAAUAAAACCGAAAAAUUAUUUGCCACUUUAUUCCCCUUAUGGACAAAAAACAGGGUCCAAAAUUGAAGGGAACAUAGACUAAAAUAAAAAUACAAAAAGGUUCUUCUAUAAAAGGAAAAUAUGAAAAUACACGGGCCGUGGCACGGCUAUCAAAAACAUGAAACGUGUCGGUGUACCGUAUUUUUUGGACUACAAGUUACAUUUUUUUCUUAGUUUGGCUGGUCCUGCAACUUAUACUCAGGUGCAUCUUAAUGUAAAUUCUUGUGGACGCUGCAUUCCAAACUAGCAAACGUGCAGGGGAGACGGUCCCUUUAUUUGUUUGACAAAACGGCACACGGUAAAUGCCAUGGCUACUUCUAACUCUUGGCACUUGGCAAAUACUUUUGGUGCAUUGCCGCCUCUUUCGACCAGCAAAUACAAUAUUCAAUGGUUUAUUAGGAUUCUGAAUUUUUUUAAAAAUUCUAAUCUGGCAUUCACAGUUUUACAGCCAAGUCUUGUCUUAAUUUGAGUCACCAACAAUGUAUUUUGAGCUAAAAUUAACAUUUUAUCAUUGGUGCUUUUUCUGUUUUGGUCUUGUUUUUUGUCAAAAGAACCCU